RNAcentral lists this ribosomal RNA (428 nucleotides) under uncultured bacterium. Its description in RNAcentral is "partial 16S ribosomal RNA". It matches the Rfam family "Bacterial small subunit ribosomal RNA", at positions 354 to 796 of the family's 1533-position model. The record is from RNAcentral.
GUAGGGAAUAUUGCGCAAUGGACGAAAGUCUGACGCAGCGACGCCGCGUGAGUGAUGAAGGCCUUAGGGUCGUAAAGCUCUGUUGAAUGGGAAGAAAAAAAUGACGGUACCAUUCGAGGAAGGACCGGCUAACUUCGUGCCAGCAGCCGCGGUAAUACGAGGGGUCCUAGCGUUGUUCGGAAUCAUUGGGCGUAAAGGGUGUGUAGGUGGCCAUGUAAGUCAGGUGUGAAAGCCCCGGGCUCAACCCGGGAAGUGCACUUGAUACUGCGUGGCUUGAGUACCGAAGAGGGUAGUGGAAUUCCAGGUGUAGUGGUGAAAUACGUAGAUAUCUGGAGGAACACCGGUGGCGAAGGCUGCUACCUGGUCGAGUACUGACAAUGAGACACGAAAGCAUGGGGAUCAAACAGGAUUAGAAACCCGAGUAGUCC